AUUUUUCAGAGAUAAAUUGUGGUAUUAACAGAUGACUUGCUUAUUAAAUAUAAGCUGCCUUUCUGGUGAUGAACUAAUUUAGGGAUAUGCAUGCAAUUAAUCAUGAAAAUAAUGUACUCUUCCUUAAAUUUUACUGGCUAUUGCUACAUCUUUUAUUAACCAUGAAUUUAAUAAUAGAUAAUGGAUUUUCAAAUAAUACAAGUAGUGUUCUACUUUAAGAAACGUGUCUGGUUAAGGAAAGAUAGAAGCUAGACUGUUCAUAUUUUAGACAACUUUAUUUUCUUUGUUUCUCUCUAUAGUCAUUGAAGAGAAGAAGAUUCCUUCAGGGAGCAAUGAAGCAUAGGUUUGAACUCUGGUGAAAUCUCUCCGUGAAAUCUCUCCUUUCAGUGUUGAUGGGGACGUGAGGAGGCAAGCCUAAUGCUAGCCUUUAUGUCUGCUUCUCAAGGCAUCAAGCUGACUUGAGCAAUCUCUUUUGCUGUAGCACCAACAUAUGCCUCUGAUAUCAUGGGCCAAUGACAUCAGAGAAUAGCAGUCAAACAACUGCAAGACCCACUGGAUGUGAAUGGGAAUCAACAAGAGCACUUAUUAUUUGCAAAGUGUCAGAGCAGAAAUUUUGAUAUCUGCUAAAGUUGAAAUGGAUCUCCAUGGCAAUCAUGUAUUCAAUGGAGACCCUUCUUUGACAACCUAAAUGGCAAGUAAAAGGAAAGAACAGGAAGUGCAGGAAGCCAGAAGCACAAUUUUAGAUCAAGUACUCUCUUCAUCACUUGGCAUAAGGACUGCUCUCAAAAAAAUGUGCAGCUUCCACUCAGUGCUUACUUGAGUGCAUCCUGCUACUGUAGCAACGAAGGCCCUAUCUCACAAAACAAACCCCACUGAAGGUACAUGUGUAACCUGAAUGCAAGGAUAACAGAGCACUGUGCUGAGAUUUUUUUAACUGGCAGUUAUGGGAAGGGACUUCAACUUCAGUGGCCUUGAUCCAUCACAUCCAAG
RNAcentral lists this long non-coding RNA (990 nucleotides) under Phasianus colchicus (ring-necked pheasant). Its description in RNAcentral is "lncRNA (ENSPCLG00000004220.1)". Lineage: Eukaryota; Metazoa; Chordata; Aves; Galliformes; Phasianidae. The record is from RNAcentral.